Long non-coding RNA from Parambassis ranga (Indian glassy fish), 3096 nucleotides. The record is from Ensembl. NCBI's taxonomy places the organism in Eukaryota, Metazoa, Chordata, Actinopteri, Ambassidae.
GUGUGCAAGAUGGGCACGCUGCAUGACAGACAGGCUUUCACAUGAUUACAACAGCUAGUUCCACAAAACAGUUAUCAGAGAAAACAGAAAUGUUAAAAGCGAUGAGGCUCUGAUCCUAAUCUGGGGCUUUCUGUCUCCUCCUUCAUACAUGGGGCCCCCCCGGCUGGUGAAGAGUCUAAUGAAGAAGGAACAGACACAGUCUCACCUGUGCCUUUCUGGCGCGCCAGCCUCUAAUGCUGAAAGGUCAUUAUAAUCCAUGGGAAGAUGCUGCACAGAACCCGCUCGCUGCACUCAUUUGCCAGGUGCAGGGAGCACAGAGCGGGGGAGGAGGGACGGUCCUUAUCCCUAUGAGGGUGGAGCAACAGGGGGGAGGUGAAGAAAGCGGAUGAAGCAGCAUUUGAAGCUCAUACUGACAUGCUGCUCUGCAGGUUCCUGUGAGCACAGGUAAGGACUCAUAAUAAGAACUCUUAUUGCUGUACAUUCAUAUUUUUCUGUUACAUGUAAUAUAAAUGUUUUUUCUGGGAUGACAGACAUGUUUUUUUUACAGGUUGAACCAGUCUGACUGUCAUUGUCAGCAGGUUUGCAACACAGUCUGUCAACUGUACUUGUUUACAUUAUGGCAGCCUAUGGGAGCUAAAUAUAAACAAAAUACAUUAAAAAAAUCAUACACACAGAUGAACUUAAAGUCAGUCUGUUUAAAAUCGCCUUUAAACAGCUGUCUGGUCCACAGUUCAUACACAUAAAAACAAAUACAUUGAUCUGGAACCCUGACCCAGAACGCUCUAUACUCAAAGUGUGUAAACAUGAAUGUAGUUUAAAGGGUUACAGGAGUCACAGAGAUAUCUUCCAAAGUUUGUGGCAUUCCUGAGCUCCUCCACCCUGAGGCUAAGGCUUUCGAAACAAUGACACGCAUGUGUGUUUUGUGUUGUUGUAGCCAUGGAUGGUGUCUUGGAAGCAGCCACAGUGUUGUGUUUAUGUAAGCUGGCCUGCAGUCUUCCCUUCCUGCCCUCACUGGCAGCCUCCAACAGUCCCGUCAGUUUUUGCUGCUGCUGCCUCCUGGUCUUCACAGACUUCCUGGUCACAGUUUUUCUCAGCUUCCUCUGCAUCUCUGAGUCCUGGCUCCCUGAACUGACACCACAGGCAGAUGUCAUCGCCCUGCGCUUCCUGCUCUUCCUCAGCCACACCUAUGGCGUGGUGCUGCUUCUGACCACGCCUCUGAUCGCCGUGGAGACAGUGAUGAGACUGAUGUGGCCUGUUGUCGCUUACAGGAGUCAGACAGCGGGCUCUGAAGGACAGAAUGUGGCGAACGUGGACGAAGAGGAGAGAGACGACGCAGAUAAAGGUGAAGACAAGAGGUCGCCUCAUGUUGUCGGCUACCUCUGCUGCCUGUCAGUGUGGGUCAUCGUCGGUCUCAACGUCAGGUGGAGAUGGAAGAUGGAGGAGGUGUGGGUAGCUGCCUGUGUGGACACAACUAACCUACUUGUCAGGUGUCUGCCCAACCUGCUCAGCCCAAUGCCCACUGCUGUCAAUCCCUGCUGGGGUAUGGCCUUCCUCCUGCUCCUCCUCCUCCUACUGACCACCGGCAUGAGCCUGCAAAGAAGACACAGGGAUGGAACACAAAGAGUUAAUCAUAAGUGCUGGCAAGGCCUGGUUCCAGUAUCGUCUGCACCGUUCAGUCCUAUGAAUCCUGGGAUGUUGCCAUGUGUUGACCCAGAGAAAACAGAGAGCAGCUGCACCGUUCACAGAGCGGAUUCCUGGAACAGUGUGCAGAUGUCAGUGUGUCACCAUGGAGACUUUGUCCUCCUCUCCCCUGCAUGUCUCUCUGGAAAGAGGGGAGGACAGGAGCACGAAAGAACAAAGAGAGGUAUACCUCUGACAUUUAUCACAGAGCAACAGCACGUGGACUCGGGGCCCAGGAGUUGGUGUGGGUGGCGACGGUGGUGGGGCUUUCCCUGCUUGGGGGUGAAUGUAAUGAUAGGUUCUGUGGGUGUGCUCACCAUUUUUGUGCUGCCGCUGAACCUCAGUGUGAAUAUUCUUCUCAUCAGGACUAUAGAGACUCUGCUGGAGUGGUGUGUUGUAACUUUAAUUUCACCUGUGGGAAACACAAGAGACACAUUCAGCUCACACAGGGAAGCAGCAGUUUAACAAGAGACACGUGAGAAGACAAAGUAGAGGCUGAUAGGCUGAAGAUUGCAACAGGAUCAUCAGAUUAAUAUUACAUGUGUGCAGACAGCGGGUAUACCUGUUAACACCGGCUUUGAAUAGAAUGUGAAUAAACAUUUGUGAGCAGCAGCUAUUCACAUGUGAGGAAUAAUAUGUGGAAACUGCUGAAAGGUGCUGAGGAGGCAGGUUGAGGCGUGCUGGGCAGAGUGAGACCUGACAGGAACAGAUGGUGGAAGGCCUUCUUUUAUGGAUCUGAAGCUGUUUGUCAAUACACAAUGGGGUACGAAACAAGCCUCACCCAUUUAAAGAGGACUAAUCGGGAGUUAAACUGUUAUGAUGUGAAGUCUGCUGACGCUGCAGCACAUACAAGUUGCAUAAAUAAAUACUUAGUGACUUCAGGGUGCUGCUGAGACUUUAGUUUUUAUACCUGCACUUAGGUCCAAUGACCUGCUCCUCAAAGGUUUGAUGUUUACUCGUGCUUAAGUUCACAUUAAAGGUAGGAGCUCCACCACAUUUGAAGCUCUAAGGUUACAUUUAAAGCAACAAUGCAAAUAUUCACUCUCCCCCUGCUGGCAAGAAGCAAAUGAGUGAACUCAGCUCAGACUGUCCUCGCUGACCUUUUGGAAUGAGAGCUAAACCAGCAUGGCCCUUAGAAAGUGACAGAGAAAAUGCAAGCAAGCUGGCUAGCAAAGGUUAAUUUUUUAUUUGCAUAUAGUAUUCUAGAGCAUUAGAGAUGGUUUAAAAGUAGCCUUUGCUUCUGUUUUAGGCUGUAAUCUAAUCUAACUUUGUUUUUUUAUUUAUCUGAACCAUCAGAACAUUUUAUUGGACUUUAAACACAGAUGUAAACCUCGCUAUCCUGUGAAGUACAAAGAGGUCCAUGCAACAGUCUCAUGAGUCAUGAGAAUCCCUCAGAAGUCAGAGCGACAACUCAGC